RNAcentral lists this ribosomal RNA (253 nucleotides) under uncultured bacterium. Its description in RNAcentral is "partial 16S ribosomal RNA". It matches the Rfam family "Bacterial small subunit ribosomal RNA", at positions 524 to 776 of the family's 1533-position model. The record is from RNAcentral.
UACGUAGGUGGCAAGCGUUGUCCGGAUUUACUGGGCGUAAAGAGCGCGCAGGCGGUCGAAUAAGUCGAAUGUGAAAGCCCCCGGCUUAACUGGGGAGGGUCAUUCGAUACUGCUCGACUUGAAGGCAGGAGAGGGAAGUGGAAUUCCCGGUGUAGUGGUGAAAUGCGUAGAUAUUCGCAAGAACACCAGUGGCGAAGGCGGCUCACUGGCCCGAUACUGACGCUGAGGCACGAAAGCGUGGGGAGCAAACAGG